AUGAAGUCUAAGACGAAUAGGGGCAUACAGAAGGCAGGAAGAGUAGAUCAUCUCCAAGGAGGACCAAACUGGAUUCUUGUUGCCGGAGGAGUUUUACUAAGCACUUUCUCCGUCAAACUUGGAUGCAAAUUAAAGCAAAUGUUUGAUACGAAGCAGCAGAAUGGCUUUUCCAAAGCCGAAAGUAGGCCUGGAGGAUGUGAAUUGCACUCAAACCUAUGCAGGUUUCGUGGCCAAACUAGCUGCUACUAUUGUAUUUCAGGGCAUUCAGAUGGUGGAGUGGAAGUCAAGCAUCCUCCUGCAAGUCCAUCAAAAUCAGCUGAACCCUCGCUUCCACUUGUGAAAAUACCAGUGCAAGAAUCAAGCAAGGACAACAGUGGCGUCAUGUGGAUAUCAUCACCUGACCGCCUUGAAGAUCCUCGUAAACCAUUUCAGUACUCAAACAGUUCUGGCUCCCCACGUGUUUCAGAGUCAGGAUCUGACAUUUAUAGCAAGAGAGAGGUCAUACAGAAGCUGAGGCAGCACCUGAAAAGACGUGAUGAGAUGAUCAUGGAGAUUCAAGCUCAGAUUGCUGACCUUAAGAACUCUCUUGCCAUCCAGGAGAAGCAGUCGUCUAAUUUGCAGUCUCAGCUGGAGUCUGCUAACCGAGAUAUAUUUGAUUCUGAGCGAGAGAUCCAGCAUCUGAGGAAGAUCAUCACAGACCAUUGUGUUGGCGAAGCACUCUCUCACGAUAAGCCGUUGCAUGUUGGACACUGGCAGUCAGAUGCCACCAAUGGGCAUGCUAAUGGCUACGCCAAUAGCAGCGUCGGUGACCCUGAGCUGCAUUUUAUUGGUAUUGGGAAGAAGAAAGAAGAGUUGGAGAGGAUGGAGAUGCUCAAGAGGGAGGUGGGUGAGCUGAAGGAAGUUAUCGGAGGGAAAGACUUCUUGCUUCACAGCUACAAGGAGCAGAAGGUCGAGCUCUGUUCUCAGAUCAGGGAAUUGCAGGAAAAACUCUCCUCGCAUGUGCCGAACAUAUUGUAG
This 1017-nucleotide ribosomal RNA is filed under the name Triticum aestivum (bread wheat). RNAcentral describes it as "partial small subunit ribosomal RNA". Lineage: Eukaryota; Viridiplantae; Streptophyta; Magnoliopsida; Poales; Poaceae. The record is from RNAcentral.